RNAcentral lists this ribosomal RNA (465 nucleotides) under uncultured Klebsiella sp. RNAcentral's name for it is "bacterial SSU rRNA". It matches the Rfam family "Bacterial small subunit ribosomal RNA", at positions 338 to 795 of the family's 1533-position model. Lineage: Bacteria; Pseudomonadati; Pseudomonadota; Gammaproteobacteria; Enterobacterales; Enterobacteriaceae. The record is from RNAcentral.
CCUACGGGCGGCAGCAGUGGGGAAUAUUGCACAAUGGGCGCAAGCCUGAUGCAGCCAUGCCGCGUGUGUGAAGAAGGCCUUCGGGUUGUAAAGCACUUUCAGCGGGGAGGAAGGCGGUGAGGUUAAUAACCUCAUCGAUUGACGUUACCCGCAGAAGAAGCACCGGCUAACUCCGUGCCAGCAGCCGCGGUAAUACGGAGGGUGCAAGCGUUAAUCGGAAUUACUGGGUGUAAAGCGCACGCAGGCGGUCUGUCAAGUCGGAUGUGAAAUCCCCGGGCUCAACCUGGGAACUGCAUUCGAAACUGGCAGGCUAGAGUCUUGUAGAGGGGGGUAGAAUUCCAGGUGUAGCGGUGAAAUGCGUAGAGAUCUGGAGGAAUACCGGUGGCGAAGGCGGCCCCCUGGACAAAGACUGACGCUCAGGUGCGAAAGCGUGGGGAGCAAACAGGAUUAGAUACCCGUGUAGUC